GACGGAGGGGGCAAGCGUUGUUCGGAUUUAUUGGGCGUAAAGGGCUCGUAGGCGGUUUGUUGCGUCGGCCGUGAAAACCUGCAGCUUAACUGUGGGCCUGCGGUCGAUACGGGCAGACUUGAGUUCGGUAGGGGAGACUGGAAUUCCUGGUGUAGCGGUGAAAUGCGCAGAUAUCAGGAGGAACACCGAUGGCGAAGGCAGGUCUCUGGGCAUUAACUGACGCUGAGGAGCGAAAGCAUGGGGAGCGAACAGG
RNAcentral lists this ribosomal RNA (253 nucleotides) under uncultured bacterium. Its description in RNAcentral is "partial 16S ribosomal RNA". It matches the Rfam family "Bacterial small subunit ribosomal RNA", at positions 524 to 776 of the family's 1533-position model. The record is from RNAcentral.